CUGUCCCUGUCCCUGUCCCUGUCCCGUCCUGUCCCUGUCCCGUCCUGUCCCUGUCCCUGUCCCGUCCUGUCCCCGUCCCGUCCCGCCCCCGCACAGCGCCUAGCCGGGAGUCCCCGCCGAAAGAGCUCCGUCCGCGGCCCCUCAGCUGGAGCUCGUCCCGCUCCUGCUCGGUGCGGGCUCAGGGUUACGGUCACCAGCGUCAUUAAAACUCAACAGUGCGGCCACAGACCCGACUGUAACCACAGAGCGUCGUUUUAACACAAGCUGAAGCAAAGAGCUCGCUACUUUCUUUUAAUUCGCCUUUCAAAUACAGCCUCCCUCAACGAAAGCCUGCUUUACAAUUACAGUGUGAUUGACGAACUACUGUUUGAAUAUAACUCAUCACACAUUCCAUAUUUUGUACUUAAUAUGUAUUACAUGUAAGUUGUUUAAAGACACAUGAACAUCAGUGAACUGUCCCUGGCAUCUGAAGCUAAGCACAGACCUGCGAUAAAAUUAAGCACUGAGAGUUUAGACCAGGUUUGUAGCUUUUCUGCAUAAUGUCAGCUCAUUGUACAAUUCUUCAUAGUGUGUGUGGGGAAAAAAAUGAAUACAAAUAAAAAGUUGGUUUUGGAAGAAGCAGCAGGAGAGUGUAGUCAGAAGCCUGCCUUCUUACAGUGAACCAGUGCCAGAAACUUCUACUGGCACAAUGGAUGGGGUCGAUCAAGGACAGGCAAAGUGUCUGGAUACUUCUUCAGCAGCAGUGCCAGCCAGUGGCAGCUUAAGCUGCCAAUGAAGUUGGACUUGAAUCUUAUGUAAAGUGGGACCUCACAGGUCUGUAAUUUAGGUAUGAUUCCAGAUCUGCAAAGCUUAUGGGCUCUGAAAUCCAAUCUGUUUCAAAUCUAUGCAGGAACCUCCAUGAAGUGUGUGUACAUGUGUGUAUGUGGGGGAGAGGGAUGGGAACCUGGGCUGGAGAAGUAGGACUGGGAAACCACUAAGCAACAGCUCUGUCAGUAUCCUGUGGAAACUGUGAUGGAGUUGUUGUUCAGGAGGCAAAAGUCCAUAUUCAGGGCUCUGACAGGCAGACACAAAGAACCUGGGGCAACAUACAGAAUUUGCCAGGAAAGCAGGGAAGAGACACAAGCAGAAAGCAGUUUUCUCAUUGUUUCAUCACAGCACAAUUCCUGUUUGUUCUUUGUUUCCCUUUUAUGGCACAUUCCAAAAUGACUACUUUAAAGUGUUCCUUGGGAUCUCAUCCCUGAGCUGAGUUCUGUUUAAUGACAGAGGUAAUGUAAUAUUGCAACUGUUCUACUUAACAUAAGUUGGAAGUCAGGCCAAAGAAACAAGAGAAAGUUACUGCAAAUUGAUCUUCAUAGUGAAUCUGAGCAUGUGACGUUUCCUUAAAAUAGUUACAUGCAUUAAAUUCUUGCAGUAGGGAGUUAGUGUCUGCCUCAACCUCACUCCCAUAUGUCCCUGGCCAGCUCAGGAAAUAUCUCCUGUAGCCUGUGAGUAUGUGCAAGUGCUUCCUUCCAGAAAUGCAGAAUGUGAGUUUAGUAACUCUAAAGACCCAGAAGACCCUCUGCACCUUCAAAUGACAGUUGCUCUUAGGAACAUUUGAGUACACAUAGUUCUCUAACAUAUUACAAGCAGAACUGUUCAACAAACUUCUGCAAACAAAUCAAUACAAAGCAGACAGAUCUAUAGAUCAAUUGGCUGAUCAAAUGGACAUGUUAACACAAACACAUGACCUUGGCAUUAUUUGCCUUAUGACAACCCUCAAAAAGCCAAAAUGUGACUUACCAGCUUUCACAAGGGGAGUGAUUGGUGAGGAGUCAAUGAGUUUUGCCAUCAUGCAUUUAUCACCCAUUUUUGCAAAUACUUUGUACAUUUUACCUUACCAGAAGUUUUCAAAUUGACUCAACUUUGCUUGUUGCAGCGGCUUCCGAGAUGAGGAACUUAGCAGUUGUACAAAAGAACUGCAUGAUAGUAAAUAAACUCUAAGUUGACAUAUGUCACUGUGUUAUGAAAUGUCACUGAUGUGUUGUAUGAGUGAGCAAUCAUGGACUUUGUCCUCAGGCUGCGCCUUGGUGUUUUACUGAGGUUGAUACUCACUCGUACUAAAGUUCAGAGAAUAACAAAUGAGCUCAUUCACAACAUUUGACUGUGAGGGGGAGUUCCAAGGGCUUUGCAGGAGGACAGAAUCAAUCCCAUUCAGUUAUGAGGUACAUGGUAGACAGUGAUGCUGAAACAUGUGUACAUCACAUCCACAGAGCUGGGAAAAAGUUGGUAGUACCCAAAUGAAAUGCGGAAGUGGUGUAAGGUCAGUUACUACAGGGCAGUCAAACCAUUUGUUUACAUUCCCACCUGGGUCAUGUGUCAUAAACCUCUGAUUGUCUGUCCUCCUCUCUUCCAGACUCUGUUGAGUUUGUCCAUGAACUUAUUGAACUGUAGAGUCUUAAAAUGAACUCCAUCAAUGGCUUUGCCUGUGCCAAGUAAAAGGAAAUGACUACUUUCCAGGAUUUUUGUGCAAUGCCACUUUUAAUGGCCUAGAAGUAAUUUACUUCCUCUGCAGCAGCACAGUGCUGUGACAGACAUGUAGCUCUGAUUUGCUCUCCACGUCAUCACUUUCUAAAGAUUUCUAUUAUUUUUAAUUCAUAUACUGACUUAGAAUUCUAA
This is a long non-coding RNA of Pseudopipra pipra, 2655 nucleotides long. RefSeq lists it as uncharacterized. Lineage: Eukaryota; Metazoa; Chordata; Aves; Passeriformes; Pipridae. The transcript is spliced from 2 exons. The record is from RefSeq and is a predicted model, not a curated record.